GAGGUCGUGGUUGUGGCGCUCCUCGAUGUCGCUGAGCUGCCGCUCCAGGGACUCCUUAGUGCCUCGCACCGACUCGAGCUCGAUGCUCUUGGACUGCAGCUGGCGCCGGUACUCGGCGAUCUCUUCCUUGGCAGAGCGAAUGGCCUCCUUGUUCUGCUCGGCCGCCUCGGUGAGCUUGGCGUAGCGGCAUUUGAACCACUCUUCGGCCUGGUGCAUGUUCUGGUCUGAGUGACACUCGAGCUGGGAGCGGAUCUCCUUCAGCGCCGUGGAGAUGUCUGUCUUCAGGUAAUCUUUGCGCUCUACCGUGAUGUGCGACGCCUGGAUCUGAGCCAGCAGGUCGGCCACCUCCUCUUCGUGAUUGCUCCGCAGGAAAGCCACCUCAUCCUGCAGCGACUGCACCUUCUUGUCCAGCUCCACCUUAACCAUCGACGACUCUUCGAUGUCUUUGCGCAGCGCGCGAAUGGCAGCCUCGGUGUCGUCCCGCAGCCGCGCCUCCUCCUCGAAGCGCUCCUUGAGCCGGUGGAUGUCUUCCUCCAAGUGAUCGGAGUCCAGCUGCACUUGAGCCUUCUCGUGGUUCACCAUCUCGAGGGUGGCGCGCAGCUCUCGGAUCUCCUGGUCGUAAGCAUCACCCAGCUGGGCGUGCGAGGCCUGCUUCUGCCGCAGUGCCUGGAUCUCUGCUUCGAUCUCCUUGUUCUGUUGUUCCAAGUAGUGCACUUUCUCGAUGUAGCCGGCGAAGCGGUCGUUCAGCCCCUGCAGCUGCUCUUUCUCGUUAGAGCGGGACAGUUUGUAGUCGCCGCCGGAGCCGCCGUUGAGCAGCGACGAGGACUGGCUGAAGUCGAGGCUGCUCUCGGCCGAGCUGAGCAUAGCCGAGCUGUAGGCGAGACGCGGGGCGAGCGCGCUGCGCUUGUAGGAGGAGGACACGGUGCUGGGCGAGCCGCGGGACCAGGACUGCGAGCGGAAGCCGCUGGACGGGGAACCGCUCACGCGGCUGAAGCUGGAGCGGGUCUCGGUGACCCGCCGGUAGGCGGACGGGUUGCCCAGCGAGUCCAGCGUGUAGCUCAUCUUGGAGGCCUUGGGCAAGAGAUGAGCUGAGAGUUAUGCAGAAGAAAAAAAAGAGAGAGUUUUUGAGGAAUGGCCCGCCGGAAACCUCCGGAAAGGGGACAAAGAAGACAGGCCGGGGUAGUCAUUUGUGUUAAAAGUGGAAAGUGGCACUCCAGUCUGCUUAACUGUUGGGGGACGACUGCAGCUUCCAGCAGUUGAUCAAAUUGACCGAAAGGUUUGUUCAAGACCACACACCUUCCAAGUGGUGGUGCUGGGACCAGGCUCAGCUCUUCUGGUGGCACUGGUAACAUUACACAACUCCCUCAGUAGACUGCCAGAUCCGGUCUCCAGCUGGAACCUUCAACACAAAUGUGAACGCUGCAGAGAGGAACGUCGUGGUAAUGUGGCUACGAGAGUUACUGAUCAUUUACGUGUAUCCAGUGUGUUAAAUGUUUGGCCCCAAACUUCCCUGAGUCUUAUUCAAUCAACACAAUUUCCUCAAGAUGACCUUGUUAUCAUCUCCAUUUUUAUAGAAAAAAAAAAAGCAAUCAAGUACAGAGACACAAAGAAGUUAAAUAUACACAUAACCGCAAGGUCAUUAGAAGGUCAUUGUUUCCAACUUUAAAAGCAAUCUCUCAUUUUAAAUAUCUCUCAUUAGUGCCUAAUUGUCAUGCCACGUUAAAAACACUCAGGCAAUGUUAUGCAUACAUAUUCUUCCCCCUUCUGCAAUUAAUAUCAAAAGACUUUAAUUUCUCAGAUGACUAUUUUUUUAUUGUUUCAUUUGUGACUUUAUUAAAGACAUUAAAAACA
Molecule: long non-coding RNA, 1851 nt
Filed under: Mus musculus (house mouse)
Lineage: Eukaryota; Metazoa; Chordata; Mammalia; Rodentia; Muridae
Description: RIKEN cDNA A230070E04 gene (A230070E04Rik)
Source: RNAcentral